CAGAUGCCUAAAAAGGGUAAAAACAAAGGGGCGGUGACAGAAGAGAGUGAGCACACAUGGCGUUUUCUGGCAUGAUGUUUAUAUAUAUAUAUGCUUGAAACUAUGUGUGCUCACUGCUCUAUCUGUCACCUCCCACCAAUUCCUCUAUCUUUCUUUAUAUGUAUCUG
This is a non-coding RNA of Solanum lycopersicum (tomato), 167 nucleotides long. RefSeq annotates it as microRNA MIR156d. NCBI's taxonomy places the organism in Eukaryota, Viridiplantae, Streptophyta, Magnoliopsida, Solanales, Solanaceae. The record is from RefSeq and is marked provisional.